This 253-nucleotide ribosomal RNA is filed under the name uncultured bacterium. RNAcentral describes it as "partial 16S ribosomal RNA". It matches the Rfam family "Bacterial small subunit ribosomal RNA", at positions 524 to 776 of the family's 1533-position model. The record is from RNAcentral.
UACGUAGGGGGCAAGCGUUGUCCGGAAUUAUUGGGCGUAAAGCGCGCGCAGGCGGUCCUUUAAGUCUGAUGUGAAAGCCCACGGCUCAACCGUGGAGGGUCAUUGGAAACUGGGGGACUUGAGUACAGAAGAGAAGAGUGGAAUUCCACGUGUAGCGGUGAAAUGCGUAGAGAUGUGGAGGAACACCAGUGGCGAAGGCGACUCUUUGGUCCGUAACUGACGCUGAGGCGCGAAAGCGUGGGGAGCAAACAGG